Molecule: transfer RNA, 85 nt
Filed under: Alphaproteobacteria bacterium
Lineage: Bacteria; Pseudomonadati; Pseudomonadota; Alphaproteobacteria
Description: tRNA-Leu
Rfam family: tRNA
About the family: Transfer RNA (tRNA) molecules are approximately 80 nucleotides in length. Their secondary structure includes four short double-helical elements and three loops (D, anti-codon, and T loops).
Source: RNAcentral
GCGGGCGUGGUGGAAUUGGUAGACGCGCGGCACUCAAAAUGCCGUUCCUUCGGGAGUGUCGGUUCGAGUCCGACCGCCCGCACCA